AGCAGCCGCGGUAAUUCCAGCUCCAAUAGCGUAUAUUAAAGUUGUUGCAGUUAAAAAGCUCGUAGUUGAAUUUCGGGGUUAGUAGGUUGGUCAUGCCUCUGGUAUGUACUGGUCUCACUGAUUCCUCCUUCCUGAUGAGCCGUAAUGCCAUUAAUUUGGUGUUGCGGGGAAUUUGGACUGUUACUUUGAAAAAUUAGAGUGUUUAAAGCAAGCUAACGCUUGAAUACAUUAGCAUGGAAUAAUGAAAUAGGACGUUCGAUCCUAUUUUGUUGGUUUCUAGGAUUGACGUAAUGAUUAAUAGGGAUAGUUGGGGGCAUUAGUAUUCAAUUGUCAGAGGUGAAAUUCUUGGAUUUAUUGAAGACUAACUACUGCGAAAGCAUUUGCCAAGGAUGUUUUCAUUAAUCAAGAACGAAAGUUAGGGGAGUCGAAGACGAUCAGAUACCGUCGUAGUCUUAACCAUAAACUAUGCCGACUAGGGAUCGGAUGAUGUUUAAUUUUUAUUGACUUCAUUCGGCGUCCG
This 520-nucleotide ribosomal RNA is filed under the name uncultured Glomus. Its description in RNAcentral is "SSU rRNA". It matches the Rfam family "Eukaryotic small subunit ribosomal RNA", at positions 569 to 1089 of the family's 1831-position model. Lineage: Eukaryota; Fungi; Glomeromycota; Glomeromycetes; Glomerales; Glomeraceae. The record is from RNAcentral.